CACAACUUGCCUGAGAUUUGAGAUUUCAGGUACCAACUUGCUCUUCAGGUGACACGUGUCCUCACUGCUAAACGUAGCAAUACAGACAAACAUGGUAUAGGUAAAAUUAACAUCACACCAAACAUAAUAAUACAUUGCAUAAUAAUAAUCUACGCGUCACAAUGAGAUCGUGGGAACGUGAAUCACUAAAUUCGGAGUUACGGUUGUUUAGGAAUUUCUGAAGUUAUUUAAUACCUAGAAUAGAGUUAUUCAUGUUAAUAAUUUUAAAUCAAGUUUCAUGGUUAGACAAAGGUACUAGGUAGAAAAAUACUUAAACAAAAUUAAUGCCACUGGAAUGAAUCAAUUUGGAGCUAAAUUCAUCAAGUUAUGAAUUUCCUAAGUUUGGGACAUUAUUUUGCAUUAAAAAGAAUUUCUGUAUUUAAUUUAAUAGAUUUUCUGAGUUACUUGGACUGCAGCCACUAUUUAACAGAAACCCUGGGGGGUUCUGCGCAAAAGACACCAAGACUCAGAACUCCCACAGUGUGGACUGCGGGUUGUUUAUAGUUAAAUAGGAGGUCUCUUUUGCAAAACGCGCAGGUCGAAAGGGUAUCAGUUAAUUCUAGCCGUUGGAUCCUGCAUCAAGGGCCACGAUUAAAUUUUCUUACCACCGAACCAGAACGCGAUCGCAGCCAUCGAAUCAACGAUCAACGACCCGAAGGAUUAUACGCCUAGAUCUAAUAUGUGCCCUCCGCAAUCGAUCCAACGGUCCAUGGCGCAUCAUCGUCCCCAGCUAGUGUCAUGGUGGUGCACAGACCCUUCCUCGCCGGCGCAAUGCUUGCCAGCGACAUGGCCCCGGCGAGCGGCGGACCGGUCAGCCCAGCCUGAAAUUCAAGAACGAACGAGAUCUAUGCACUGUGCGUAGUUUAGACGAUGACGAAACCCAUAGGGGAAUUCUUACCGGUAGAUUUGGAUGCCACAGCGUCGCACGCGACGAUCAACAUCCCGACGGCAAUGCAUCUGUUUCGACGAAGGAUCGCAUGCACAUCGGCUACUCCAGUCGCUAAGCGCCCGUGAUGAGGCCACGAUGUGCGCGACAUUCACCGGUUGUCAUCCACCAGCGCCACAGGAACGACACCAGAGCUAGCGCGCAAAUCGACAUCCAUGUGCUCCAGGCAAUAUUCUAUGGAGAGCUAGCGAUGUGGAGACACCCCAGGUGUGGCGGCUCCCCUAUAUCUCCCUGGCAUGAAUCACCAGGUGCUAGCGCUC
Molecule: long non-coding RNA, 1245 nt
Filed under: Zea mays
Lineage: Eukaryota; Viridiplantae; Streptophyta; Magnoliopsida; Poales; Poaceae
Description: long non-coding RNA (ZMAY_LNC004802)
Source: RNAcentral